RNAcentral lists this ribosomal RNA (110 nucleotides) under uncultured Ruminococcus sp. The record is from RNAcentral. Lineage: Bacteria; Bacillati; Bacillota; Clostridia; Eubacteriales; Oscillospiraceae.
GGUGUCGAUGACGCUGAGGGUCCACCCGUUCCCAUACCGAACACGGAAGUUAAGCUCAGUGGUGCCGACGAUAGUAGUAGGGCGACUUGCUGUGAAAAUAGGGAGAUGCC